This is a long non-coding RNA of Aedes albopictus (Asian tiger mosquito), 9629 nucleotides long. RefSeq lists it as uncharacterized. Lineage: Eukaryota; Metazoa; Arthropoda; Insecta; Diptera; Culicidae. The transcript is spliced from 2 exons. The record is from RefSeq and is a predicted model, not a curated record.
UGUUUCGGAACGAGAACAAAGGGAACAGCAGCGACAUUCGUCCUCUAUAGUUUAUUAAAUAACUCUAUUGAAUCAACCGAAUUCAACCGAAUACGCGAGAAAAGGUAAUGCGACCACCUGAGAGACUAGGACAACCCAUGUUUUCAGAUCUUACUCAUUUUAGUGUGCGUUUUUGUCAAGAAUGUGUAACUCAAAUGCUUCGUGUUUAUUUGAUGUUUAGUAAUUCCUUGUUUUGUUGAUGUUCUAGCCGGUAAACUUUUAGCUCUUUUAUGAAGAAUUUGAUUUAGUUUAAAACCCAUGUGAACUUCCCAAAAAUAAGAAUUGAGUCUCAGUCUAACUACAAAUUGCGCUGUGGUGAUGGAGAAAUAAUGGGAGAUGCAAAUAUCAAAUCAACAAUUUUGAAAGGCCCGAUAAACUACAGACGAAUUCCUCCAAAUAACAGCAACGUUCUCUCCGAAUAUUCUUAUACAUUUAUGCAGGCUCAGGUACAUUUUUUCAUAACUUGAGCUUUUUUUUCAGGUGUGAAAGGUUCCAGUUAAACUAUUGUGUCAAGUAUUUUUCAAUUUGCAUGAGAUUUAUUUAAUUGUUUGUAAACAGGAUCAAAUUUGAAUUUCUGAAUUGCAAGUCCGAUUCCAAAUAUUGUUGGUAAUUGAUUCAAAGUUACCAAAGCACUGAGAUUUGGGGCUCUUCACUAACUUCAAUACAAGAUUUAUGCAAUCCUCCCACAGCGGAGAGCUGGCCAUGUCCUUGCAACAGCUGCAGCUGAGGGAUGGGAAAGGAAGAUUGAUUAGUUUAACAGUCUUCAAAAUUUCAUUUGCAUUGCGUUGCUUUGAUUCGAAAAACUAGGAGCAGGAGAAUGCAUGCUCCCAAUUUUUAAAAUCAACAAUGAUUUGAAUUGCGCCUAUCAUUUCGUGAAAAUACUGCAUCAUUGAUCUAAAUCAUUCCUACUGGGAGGGCUCAUCUCAAAAGCUAACAAACACACAUGGUAGGCCUAGUAACGGUUCAUAUUCCUUAGCGAACUCACAAAGGGUUGCCUCGACUGAAAAUGUUUACCGUCUAUGAAUGACUGUCUGUCUGUCAGAAGGCUCAGAAGUAACGGUCGUAGUUGAAUUUUGGGUUCAAUGCGUAAGUGUUGUAAGGAUGCCUUAAAUUUCUUUUCAUUUUCAGAUUUUGUAGUUUACAGCGAGUGACUGAACAUUGGAGCAAUAAGGUUUGGAGAGAUGUCACGGAGAUAGUAGUUACCUAGUGUGUGAUGUCAGAAUCCGCGAGAAUCCGUGCAAUUCUACAUGGCUUUCAUCGGCAGUGCUCAUUUCUUGAUUCGGCCUAGUUUUAACAGCAUCCGCAUCUGUCUCGUUUCACUCAUUUUUACAAUAAAUCGUUUUAAUUGCCCUGCGGCUGUGUGUUCGAGUGAAGCAUAAACCUUAAAAAGAUACAAAAACGAUGACCGGAACGCUUCCGGAUAAACCUGCGUUUCAUAACAACCAGUAUCGAAAACACACUUAUUGUCUUAUCUCAUGAAGUAUUUCAAGAAUUUCCGAUCAUUUUGCAGUGCAUUUCUAUCAGACAUAAGGUUUUAUCUUACGACUUCCAACACCAAACGUAUUCACAUUGAUCUAUUUGGUUGGGUCAAAUCCCAAAUUUAUCUUUUGCGGAACAUAAUCUAAGCCCAGUAAAUCACUACAGUUAAACAGUUACAGUUACAGUAAAUACACUACUAGUACAUUGCUAGACGUCCUUUUUCUGUCAUUUGAUUAUUGGAAUACAAUUAAAUUUGUUCACAAUUGUUCGAAGAGCAACACGCCAACGCAUACGUUAGAAAGUACUGUUGGACCCCGAAAAAAAAACUAGACGUUCUAGAUAAGCUCAAGCAGCUCGUCUUAGCCACGGCCGUUUCCGGGGGGGACACACAAACCCGUAUUUUGUCUCCCGGCUACCAGGGCAUAGCAGAGUAGCAAGGGGAGAUUUCACCAUUUGAGGAACCUAGACAUCAUGCUUCGCUUCUGCUUUUUCGGAUCGUGAUUUUCAUACGGUGGAUUUCGGUGGGCAAAUGCCGUGAGGCCAGAUUACCGAUGGAGCUGCAGUCUAUGUCAAGGGCUUCAUUUUGGCCUAUAGUGACCUAUUUCCAAGCGGGUAGGGUUGUUCUUUGGGAUGUUUGGUUACAAUUACCUAUGCGUUCAAUUAAACUCAAAUGAUUUGAAUCAUUGAUGCAUUAUUUUCAAUCAAGUGAGCACAGGAGCAAUAAAAUGCAAAAAAUUGAAUUGAUCGUAACGAAAUGAUGUUUUUCAAAGCUUGCUUUUAAAAACUCGCGCUCGCAAUGAUGAUCUUUGAAGACUGAUUAGUUAGACACCUAAGGGGCGAUUUCUUCACCCUGGCUUAAGCGUUAAGCUAGGUUUACCUGUAUGGGUAAAACUGGCUUACCGGUUAAGCCGAGGUGAAAUAAUCGGCCCUAAGAAAGGUAUGCAGAGACCUCUGCAUUCUUAUUAUCGGAAUACAUUAUUUAUCCCGAUAUGAUAUACCUAGAUGAUAUUGAUCGCCUGAAAACAAAAUAUUUUGAUGUAACGUUAAAUGGAAAAUACUUACCACUGGGGAGACUACUUUCAUUCAAUACUACAUGCACUAUCAGAAAUUGUUUUAUUUCGAAAAUCUUUAAUACGAAAGAUCAUGAAAAUGUUUCACAUAAACUAAAAAACGAGUUCAAACUGAUAGAUUAAAAAUAAAAUAAAAUUCAUACCAACAAAACGAAACAAAUGUUUCUUACAAAAAAAUAAAUAAAUCAAAAUCAAUCAACGUAGGUUCGAAGGUUCGAAGUUGUGACAUGACAUCGGAAAAGUGCUUGGAGUAGCAGAUCUAGUGAGUGUUCCCAAAUGAUGAUUGGAUCAGCUGAAAAAAACAAUGUUUUGUUUUUGAAUAUAUUACGAAUAUAAAUGCUAUCAUACCUGUGAAAGUUUAUCUCCUGCUUGGGUACCACUGCUCGGUUGGGAUUCUCCAAAUCCAGAAUCAACCAAUUCAGAUAUGAUAAUCGGCUGGUCGAACUUGUAAUAUUCUGGAGCUUGGUUUAUCUGGUCUGCAUUAAUCUGUUGCAAAUAAAUUGGAACAGAUAUGUUUUGGUAGUACGGGACUAUUGGCGUCGAAACCCGGAUUUCCGGAUCAGCGUCAUUCAUUUGGCUCGUCGACGGAUCAUUUGAUGCCAGAGUAUUCCCUUCUUCUUCGGCCACCGUGUCGACUUGCUCAUUCGUCAAUUCACCAGGACCAAUGAAGAGCAUUUCGUCAUACGGAUUUUGAAAUGCAACUUCUCUGGGCGAGUCUGCUGUCGGCGACUGAGGGUUUGGCGGAGGAGUAACAGGUGGUUCGCGGUGAUAAUCAUCCCUUCUUGUGAACGAUGGAGAUUCCAUUGAUGAUGCACGGUCGGCCGGUUCAUUACUGGCAGUCAUACGCUGUUUUUGCCGACUCGAUUCAUACUCGAUUCGUUCGAGAGCAACCAUUCUCUGCAGUUUGUCCUGCAGCACCAAUGCUCGUAGCUUCGGCAUGUCCCUUAGUUGCGCAGCGAGAUUUAGUCCGAAGUAUUGGAAUUCAUCCUGAAUAGGUGGCGACACAGAUGCACGGAUGUUGUCCAAUUUAUUUAGCGCUGACGUUAUGUGCGGAGGAACAUUUUCGUCGGAGGUCGCUUUCGGUUUCACAGAGGACAAUGCAGAACGGCGCUUCCGUUUCUUCGGAGUUGCGAGACUGCGAGUGAAACUCGACGACGCUACCGGAGACUUACGUUUCUGUCCGGCAGUUUGAACCGGACUAUGCUCUUCCGAUCCGUAUUCUUUAUUAUAUUCCUCCUCGUACCGCUUCAGUAGGUCAGCAGGGUCAUCUCCCGAUUCCGAAGAUGAUAUUGAUUGAUAAAGCUGAUAGUCUCGGACUUCGGGCUCAAUCAAUAGAUCUUCGACAGACUUCUUCGAUUGUUUGCAGGUGGAUUUCUCGGGCUAUGAAUAGAAGGGGCAUUAUUGUAUACCGGAAGUUUCAAGACAAGAAGAACAGAAGUUUUCCGGAACAGUAAAUAGAAUAUAUGUACUUACAAUGUUGCUGUACGAUUCUCUGGCUUCGCAUACCGAAAGAAACUCGUGCGCUGUCUUGUACCACGAAAGCCGGGUGUGAUAAACGUCUGCUGUUCCUGCGCCGGACUUUUUCGAACUGCUCAUUUUGUUUUUUUCGAUGUUGUAGGUAUCACGGACCACUUUAAUCCUCCUUUUGACCUCAUCCACGGAUUCAAGGUCCAUUGCUGCACGGAUUGUUUCCAGGGCCGCCAGCCUUUUCUGCUUAUUUUUAUACAGCUCGUGGCUGUAGUUCCACAGCAGCUCAUGUUCCCUGUAGAGCCCCAGCAAGUGGACAAUUUCGUCACUUGACAUUCGCUUCUUUCGAAUAGCCAUUUCAAAUUUCACCGAUUUUAAAAACUCACAAAUUUCCACGACGACGGCGGCGACAGCAGCGAGCGCGAGGACGAGCGAAGCAAACUGAAUGAAACAAAGUUGUUUGUGUGUGUGCGGCACAAUCGCAGAGAUGCCAGUGUGUGUGACAGUUAUGAUUAUUGUCUGCUAGUUCUAGCGCGAAAAUCAGAACCUUCUAAAAUAAUCAUGAUAAUUUUAUUGUCUGCUAAAAAGUGUUUACACUGUGCUAAUUAAACGCUACUAGCGCCAGUUCAUGCAUUGUCAUGUAGUUUUAGCAAAGGUGUAAACGGGCCAUUAAUCUCACUAUGCCACCACCCUGCCGCUGCCAGAGUACUCCACGCCGAAGCAUGCGAAACAUCCAUGUGACAGCAUCGCCAGAAAUCUCUCGCCUCAGUUCACUUCCAGAAGUACACGGGAGCGCGGGAGCGCUGUAUAUGCAUACAAGAACUGUGUUUACUUGUGUUCGACCGUCCUGUGCUGCUUUGGCAAUGUAUUAGUAAAAUUUUUGUGCACUUCUUCCAAUGGACGUGGGCCUCAUCGGUGGCGGAGGAAAGGAAAGAUUGUUUGUUUACACCAAGCUUGCGCUCGCAGGGAAGCUGCUAAGUUUGGCAACGUCGCAUUUGAGCUACUAUGCUCCAGCAAGAGAGCGAGGCGAAAGAGCAUAGCGAGAGAACUUGUAUUAUCGGGCCGCCACCAAACCGGACUUCGCACAAUCAAGUCGCGACGCGACCCAACUCGCGACGUUUUUCAAUCAUGUCAGAAGUAGUGCGCAUCCUUCCCGUUGUUGUCAGCAACACAGCGCACUAGAUGCGAAACAGUUGCGGCACUUGUGGAUCAAGAAAAUAGCAAUUUUUGAUUAAAUGUUGGUCUUGACUCCAACCGGAUAGACAAUACUAUUCAACGGAGGCCGCCCAUCCACUCUUUUGGCAUGCGUGCAUGCCUUUGGGUGGACCUGAAUGGGUGGCAUUUUCAUUCACUUACUGCCCCCACUCGCAUAACAGUCCCAUUUGCAAAAAGUAGGAAUUGAGAAAACAGCAUUUGAAGUUUGAAAACUUGUUUCCAUAUAAAACUUUGAAAAAUCGCCAAAAUUUGAAGAAUAUUUCGAUCAUCUCGAAACUUUCACAGAUUGUUUUGCACAUGAAUAUAUAACUGUAAAAAAUAUUACAAUCACUACAAAGUUGUUCAGUUUUGUGUUACGUAACACAAAAAUCCAUGAUGGGACUGUUAUGCGGGUACUUUUGAAAUGGGACGCUCAUGACUUGGUAUUUUUUUCACAUAUUGACAUAAAAAAAUCAUAUUUUUUAUUAUUGUUUUUGGAAGUACAUCGAAAAUGAUGACUAUUCAUAACGUUAACUCAAAAGUGAUGAAAAGUCAAAUGGGACAGUUAUGCGAGUGGGGGCAGCCUACUAGUUGCACGUCGCGUACGGUUUCAUUUUCUAGCAACAUUUAAAGGAAAAUGGAGCGCGAUAUGGUAGACAAUCUACUCCCGCAAUUCGUUUGCCAGGCGGUCGAUUGAGGAAAAGUUUGUACCGCAUCUCGAAUCAUCUAAGUAGAAUACCCUCUUCGAUUGAGUGUACUCAGAUUUGUACUUUUAAUUCCGCCCUCUAAUGCUUACCCUUGGGGCCCUUAAACAGAUACGCAUGUUUCGACUACAGUCAUAGCAUUAUCAUGGGUUACUCACAUGGGUCAAUUUGAUUUAAGUUGUAUGUGAAUAGCAUAGAGAACAGACUGACUAGUAAUAGUUACAGAGUGACCCAUAAUUGUGCAAUGGGUGUUCCACUUCUUCAGUGUCAUUUAUCCACUUCUGAGUGGAUUCUUCGAACUUCCGAAAAAAUCCCUUAACAAUUGGUGGGCAAUGUCUACUCUCGCUUCCCAAAUUUCGAUAAAGUCUAGCUGACCAAUUAGCUGAGAAUGUUUUACACGAAAAAAGUCGCAGAGAUAGCUAAGAUACUUACUAAGAACGUCUUCUCAGAAACGUAUCUGCUUAUUCCUCUGAUAAUAACACUUACGUCUACAACUGAUGCCGUUGGAAGGAACUUUUCCAUCUCAAAAGAAUAAGAACCUAUCUUCAGUUACCAUGAGCGGGCAAAGACUAAAGAGGCUUAAACUGAUGGCGGUAGAAAACCCUCUGUUUCAUCAAUUGAAACAAUAAGGCAGUUUUCUCGACGAAAUCGUCGAUAGAUUCGCUUGUCUAGCGGAGUUCAGGUUCCUGCUGUUUCCAUGUGAAAACUUUUCAAGUGCACAGUCAGCUUUACGGGUCACGAGACCAGGGAGGGUGCAGGCACGUCAAACUCGAACAAACUACGCCUACCUAACAUGCAUCGAGCGGGCCUUCCCAAACAACACAAUGCGAUUUCGCGGGCCACCCCCAUCGACAAAACAAACCGAUUUCCAAGCAGGAUUCGACUAGGCUUUUGGUCGCGUUGCCAGUCACACUCGCACACAUUCGCAAAAGAUGAGCAGUAGGCCUACCUUGCAGCAUGCGGGUCCCCUGCACGAGACGCCUCUGCCCAAGUUUUCUGGGUUUCCUAUUCACAUUGGACUGUUGUGCGAAUGUGGGCACUCUCUGUAAUAGUAUGCCCACGGAGCGAGCACGCACAAGAUAGGAGAUCUCUACACACGCAUUAAGGACCCGAUACACAUGGACCACCUUCACAAUUUGGUGUAUAGGAAACUGUGACAGCUACUUAAACAUUUUUUGAAAGGUGAAAAUAAUGCCUUUCCUGAUCAUUUUGUCUAUCCCCUGUACUGCUCCUCUUUGCAUGUCAGUCCCGUGUUGAUUUUCAAAGCGCCUACCUAUUGUAUUAUAACUUCAAUUAGUUUCAAAGACAUGUAUUAACUUCAUGUAUACAUUGGGUCUGGGACCAUUUGGGCAGGAGCACCUAUUUUGGGCGCUUGCUGCUAUAGCUCAGUCAAUUUUGAACCGAUUGACUUGAUUUUUGAGACAUGAAGCACAGUAUCUAACCAUGUUCAAAAAUUCAAGUCAAUAGGACCGAUCGGUGAAGUACUAGAUUUGUAGUUGUUGAAUCUUUAGCUAAUGAUCUGUGUGGCGUAACUUAUGGAGUGACUCAACUGCUCGAAUUUAUUAUCAGUGGUAAUCCUCUUCUCGCAUAUAUGUCCUACUAUAAGUCUAUCAUAGCGUACGAUCGACACCCGAUCGCUAUCACGGAUUAUCUUUAUUAUCAUCUUCCCGCUUACCGAUAAAACCCGAUUUCAAAUAGGUUCAGAGAUGAUAAACCUGGAUCAGAAAGUUAGUUCGCAAUAAACCGUAUAUCGCAUCAGACCUGUGUAUCGUCGUGUAUACUCAGUUGAGCUAAUAAAGCUAAGUUUUACGUUCCCUACAAAUCGAAACACAAUAUCCAAAGCCGAAAUCCUACAUAAAAUUAUGGUCCUGUAGUAAUGAGCUGAAUUUUGGUAUGGUGAGAAGGUCAAUUCUCCGUUUCUGCAAUAAAAUGGUGCAAAAAGAGUGGGUAUUAUAAUUCCUUGCCUAAUUUGAUGCUGUUUGAGCAAAACUGUGGGUAACAGUGUUGUUGUUUUCUUCAUUUCUUGCAACAUAACAACGGGCAGUGUACCACAAACGACAUUUACGUGCAGGUAUUUUAACGUUUGCUAAUUCUACACUCAUAAAAAAGUCCACGAUAGUUAAUACCAAAGGCAGUCCAACCUAUGGACUUAGCCCUCUUAGCCUGACACAAGCACAAUAUAAAUCAACGCCAAUACACCCCGAAGGAAUUGAUAUAAAAGGGAAAACUGUGAUUUCAACCUUGCAAUAAUUGCACAGAGUGUCCUGCGUACAUAUACAGGGGAUACUCAAAAUAACUAGGACAGGUAAAAUUUUCACUUUUCAAAAAAUGUUCAACUCGCUGUAACUUUUCGAUAAGGGCAUCAAAUAUUCUCAAAUUUUGACUGUAAGUUCAUCAACUAGUUGUGUAUCAGUGGUCAAAAUUUAGAAAAGAUCGGGCUAUUCUACAUGUAGUUAUAAAGGUUCUAUAAAAAAGGUAUAAUUAUUCGAUGCCCAACUUUGAGCUGUUAUAUCUCCGGAUUCAAUGAACCGAAUGCAAUGAAAUUUUGAUUAUAUAUUACUUAUAUAAUGAGCUAUUAAAAACUUUUGACAAAACAUAACAUCACAGACAAACAGACGUAACACUUCGAACAUUUUUCGAUUCAAAUCAUAGUCACGAAAACAUAUUCGCCCAAUGCUAAAAGGCCUAUGUUUGGCCGACCACCAACUAGGUGGCGGUAGUGAGCAAACGUCAAACUCGAACAAAAACGAUGCGAGCGCCACGGUUGGGCAGUUGGCCAACUAUCAAAUUUUGAAAAAGACCGUUAGAUCGGUGUACGAUGUGAAUUAUCAGAGUGUUACGUCUGUUUGUCUGUGAUAACAUUCUUUACACGAAAGAAAAUUAAAACGGUUAUAUUAUUUUUCUAAUAUAUCACCAAUUUAUCAAAAAUUUCAUCAUUGUUUCAAAAUUCGAGAUAGUAAUUAUAGUUCAUUUAAAUUCCCUCUAAUUGGCUUGAAUAUAUAGGAAAGCUACCAAAUAUCCGGCAUUUAAUUGAAAAAGAAAUGAAAAGCAUAUGAAAAAUGGAUAAAUUUACUAAAAAAACAUAGAAUAAAAGAAAUUGCUAUAACUUUUUUUUUAUUAAUAAUUUCAAAUUAAGUCAACUGUUUUUCAAAGUUCAUUAUAUUAGUCAUAAAUGAUCAAAAAUUCAUUGCAUUCGGUUUAUUGAAUCCGGAGAUAUAACAGCUCAAAGUUGGCUAUUGGAUAAUUAUACCGUUUUCUAGAAUCUUUACUGUCCCACUCGCAUAACAGUCCCAUUUGCAAAAAGUAGGAAUUGAGAAAACGACAUUUGAAGUUUGAAAACUUGUUUCCAUAUAAAACUUUGAAAAAUCGCCAAAAUUUGAAAAAUCUCGAAACUUUCACAGAUUGCUUUGCACAUGAAUAUAUAACUGUAAAAAAUAUUACAAUCACUACAAAGUUGUUCAGUUUUGUGUUACGUAACACAAAAAUCCAUGAUGGGACUGUUAUGCGGGUACUUUUGAUAUGGGACGCUCAUAACUUGUAUUUUUUCACACAUUGACAUAAAAAUUCGUAAUUUUUAUUGUUGUUUUUGGAAGUACAUCAAAAAUGAUGAAUAUUCAUAACGUUAACUCAAAAGUGAUGAAAAGUCAAAUGGGACUGUUAUGCGAGUGGGGGCAGU